GAGAAAUGUAUAAUUGUCUGGGAAAUCCGAGUUGUGGGGUGGGAGGUGAGCUACGGUGCUGAGUUUGUGCCUGAUGCUAAAGAUGCAUAUACAGUCAUCGUACAGAAACCGACAAAAUUGGCCCCAAUCGAUGAACCAGUGGUGACUAGCAGCUUCAUAGUUGGUGAACUGGGUAAAAUCUUGCUCACAGUGGACAAUUCAACCUCAAAA
This 210-nucleotide unclassified non-coding RNA is filed under the name Hevea brasiliensis (rubber tree). Lineage: Eukaryota; Viridiplantae; Streptophyta; Magnoliopsida; Malpighiales; Euphorbiaceae. The record is from RNAcentral.